CGUGAGCGUGCCUUUUUUUUUUUUUUCACUUUUGUCAACUAGAAACGCGGAAACGCUAUCGGUUCGAGCGCGCUCUUCAGAUAACGCCGACGGAAAGAAUCGCGCUGCCAGGCGUAACCUCGUUGUCUUCGAGAAAGUUCGAGAACUAUAUCGUAGCUACUUCCGAAGCGCGACUAGGGCACAGAAAAUUCUGAGCGACUCUGUGUUGUGGCGGCAGGAAAAUUUGCUCCUUGCGGACGCCUAACGUCCCAGUGUGAACUAUAGGUAAUCGAAGACGGCGUUGCAGAAACUUUGCAGAGAACGACCUUUAUCAAGAGCAACCAGCCGGCAAGUGCCUCCAAGAUGGACCACAGAGUGACUGAAAGAAUGCCGACUGCUCGUGGUAUGCAGGACUGCCCCGUAGCUCUUGGCUCGAACAACGGGUGGGACGGACAGCCGGGCCAAGUUCCCCUUCUCAGCGGACAAGGCGAUGCUGACCUUUCGUGCGUCAUCACCGGGUCCAGCGUGGAAGGCAGCGCGGUUGCCAGCUAUACGAGCCAGGCCAGCCAGCCAGGUGUCUCGAUGACCCUCCCCCUCACUACGUACUGCGGAUCUGGCGUC
Molecule: long non-coding RNA, 600 nt
Organism: Dermacentor silvarum
Lineage: Eukaryota; Metazoa; Arthropoda; Arachnida; Ixodida; Ixodidae
Exons: 4
Source: RefSeq, a predicted model, not a curated record